UAAUGGUGCACAUUUAUUUAUAAUUGAUUGUUUAAUUUAUUUAUCUAGCGAGGCAAAGUCAAGGUGUCUGGGACAAACUGCAGAAAUAAAAAAGCGCAGUCCUAUGCUGCGCUUAUUCGUUGUUCC
RNAcentral lists this unclassified non-coding RNA (126 nucleotides) under Moritella viscosa. RNAcentral describes it as "putative sRNA". Lineage: Bacteria; Pseudomonadati; Pseudomonadota; Gammaproteobacteria; Alteromonadales; Moritellaceae. The record is from RNAcentral.